Molecule: small RNA, 27 nt
Filed under: Bombyx mori (domestic silkworm)
Lineage: Eukaryota; Metazoa; Arthropoda; Insecta; Lepidoptera; Bombycidae
Description: ovarian small RNA-17196
Source: RNAcentral
GGAACUUUCGGACGGGCGCGGGCCCGG